Molecule: long non-coding RNA, 284 nt
Filed under: Solanum tuberosum (potato)
Lineage: Eukaryota; Viridiplantae; Streptophyta; Magnoliopsida; Solanales; Solanaceae
Description: long non-coding RNA (STUB_LNC001056)
Source: RNAcentral
AAGACAGCCAGCCAGGCGAGCAGCUGCUCCAGCCAGCAUUAGCCACCAGCAGACCAGCAGCUCCGACUGGCGACCAGCAGCGCCAGUAGCAGCCACAACCAGCGGAUAGAGGCUCAGCGCCAGCGUCCCUCUCCUCUUUUCCGGUGAGAACUCGAGGCCACCAGCAACGCCGACGACAAGCAACCAGCAGCGACAUCAAUCUCCGGUGAAGAUAAAUUUAGACAGAUCUAUUCAGAUCUGUCCGGGUACAUUUCUUUAAAAUUAUUGUCUCAUCUUUUANNNNN